This is a non-coding RNA of Acanthosepion pharaonis, 95 nucleotides long. Lineage: Eukaryota; Metazoa; Mollusca; Cephalopoda; Sepiida; Sepiidae. The record is from the annotation of a GenBank genome assembly.
UUACGGCCAUAUCACGUUGAAACACCGGUUCUCGAACGAUCAGCGAAGUUAAGCAAUGUCGAAACUGGUUAGUACCUAGAUGGGUGACCGUUUGG